RNAcentral lists this ribosomal RNA (515 nucleotides) under uncultured bacterium. Its description in RNAcentral is "partial 16S ribosomal RNA". It matches the Rfam family "Bacterial small subunit ribosomal RNA", at positions 28 to 523 of the family's 1533-position model. The record is from RNAcentral.
GACGAACGCUGGCGGCGUGCUUAACACAUGCAAGUCGAGCGAAUGGAUUAAGAGCUUGCUCUUAUGAAGUUAGCGGCGGACGGGUGAGUAACACGUGGGUAACCUGCCCAUAAGACUGGGAUAACUCCGGGAAACCGGGGCUAAUACCGGAUAACAUUUUGAACCGCAUGGUUCGAAAUUGAAAGGCGGCUUCGGCUGUCACUUAUGGAUGGACCCGCGUCGCAUUAGCUAGUUGGUGAGGUAACGGCUCACCAAGGCAACGAUGCGUAGCCGAGCUGAGAGGGUGAGCGGCCACACUGGGACUGAGACACGGCCCAGACUCCUGCGGGAGGCAGCAGUAGGGAAUCUUCCGCAAUGGACGAAAGUCUGACGGAGCAACGCCGCGUGAGUGAUGAAGGCUUUCGGGUCGUAAAACUCUGUUGUUAGGGAAGAACAAGUGCUAGUUGAAUAAGCUGGCACCUUGACGGUACCUAACCAGAAAGCCACGGCUAACUACGUGCCAGCAGCCGCGGUAA